CCAGACUCCUACGGGAGGCAGCAGUGGGGAAUAUUGGACAAUGGGGGAAACCCUUAUCCAGCGACGCCGCGUGAGGGAAGAAGGUUUUCGGAUUGUAAACCUCUGUCAGUGGGGACGAUAAUGACGGUACCCACGGAGGAAGCCACGGCUAACUCCGUGCCAGCAGCCGCGGUAAUACGGAGGAUGCGAGCGUUAUCCGGAUUUAUUGGGUUUAAAGGGUGCGUAGGCGGGACGGUAAGUCAGCGGUAAAAAUGCGGAGCUCAACUCCGUCGAGCCGUUGAAACUGCCGUUCUUGAGUGAGCGAGAAGUAUGCGGAAUGCGUGGUGUAGCGGUGAAAUGCAUAGAUAUCACGCAGAACUCCGAUUGCGAAGGCAGCAUACCGGCGCUCAACUGACGCUGAAGCACGAAGGCGUGGGUAUCGAACAGGAUUAGAUACCCGGGUA
RNAcentral lists this ribosomal RNA (443 nucleotides) under uncultured bacterium. Its description in RNAcentral is "bacterial SSU rRNA". It matches the Rfam family "Bacterial small subunit ribosomal RNA", at positions 331 to 792 of the family's 1533-position model. The record is from RNAcentral.